GGGUUGUGAGGUUAAGCGACUAAGCGUACACGGUGGAUGCCCUGGCAGUCAGAGGCGAUGAAGGACGUGCUAAUCUGCGAUAAGCGUCGGUGAGGUGAUAUGAACCGUUAUAACCGGCGAUUUCCGAAUGGGGAAACCCAGUGUGAUUCGUCACACUAUCAUUAACUGAAUCCAUAGGUUAAUGAGGCGAACCGGGGGAACUGAAACAUCUAAGUACCCCGAGGAAAAGAAAUCAACCGAGAUUCCCCCAGUAGCGGCGAGCGAACGGGGAGCAGCCCAGAGCCUGAAUCAGUGUGUGUGUUAGUGGAAGCGUCUGGAAAGGCGCGCGAUACAGGGUGACAGCCCCGUACACAAAAAUGCACAUACUGUGAGCUCGAUGAGUAGGGCGGGACACGUGGUAUCCUGUCUGAAUAUGGGGGGACCAUCCUCCAAGGCUAAAUACUCCUGACUGACCGAUAGUGAACCAGUACCGUGAGGGAAAGGCGAAAAGAACCCCGGCGAGGGGAGUGAAAAAGAACCUGAAACCGUGUACGUACAAGCAGUGGGAGCACGCUUCGGCGUGUGACUGCGUACCUUUUGUAUAAUGGGUCAGCGACUUAUAUUCUGUAGCAAGGUUAACCGAAUAGGGGAGCCGAAGGGAAACCGAGUCUUAACUGGGCGUUAAGUUGCAGGGUAUAGACCCGAAACCCGGUGAUCUAGCCAUGGGCAGGUUGAAGGUUGGGUAACACUAACUGGAGGACCGAACCGACUAAUGUUGAAAAAUUAGCGGAUGACUUGUGGCUGGGGGUGAAAGGCCAAUCAAACCGGGAGAUAGCUGGUUCUCCCCGAAAGCUAUUUAGGUAGCGCCUCGUGAAUUCAUCUCCGGGGGUAGAGCACUGUUUCGGCAAGGGGGUCAUCCCGACUUACCAACCCGAUGCAAACUGCGAAUACCGGAGAAUGUUAUCACGGGAGACACACGGCGGGUGCUAACGUCCGUCGUGAAGAGGGAAACAACCCAGACCGCCAGCUAAGGUCCCAAAGUCAUGGUUAAGUGGGAAACGAUGUGGGAAGGCCCAGACAGCCAGGAUGUUGGCUUAGAAGCAGCCAUCAUUUAAAGAAAGCGUAAUAGCUCACUGGUCGAGUCGGCCUGCGCGGAAGAUGUAACGGGGCUAAACCAUGCACCGAAGCUGCGGCAGCGACACUAUGUGUUGUUGGGUAGGGGAGCGUUCUGUAAGCCUGUGAAGGUGUACUGUGAGGUAUGCUGGAGGUAUCAGAAGUGCGAAUGCUGACAUAAGUAACGAUAAAGCGGGUGAAAAGCCCGCUCGCCGGAAGACCAAGGGUUCCUGUCCAACGUUAAUCGGGGCAGGGUGAGUCGACCCCUAAGGCGAGGCCGAAAGGCGUAGUCGAUGGGAAACAGGUUAAUAUUCCUGUACUUGGUGUUACUGCGAAGGGGGGACGGAGAAGGCUAUGUUGGCCGGGCGACGGUUGUCCCGGUUUAAGCGUGUAGGCUGGUUUUCCAGGCAAAUCCGGAGAAUCAAGGCUGAGGCGUGAUGACGAGGCACUACGGUGCUGAAGCAACAAAUGCCCUGCUUCCAGGAAAAGCCUCUAAGCAUCAGGUAACAUUAAAUCGUACCCCAAACCGACACAGGUGGUCAGGUAGAGAAUACCAAGGCGCUUGAGAGAACUCGGGUGAAGGAACUAGGCAAAAUGGUGCCGUAACUUCGGGAGAAGGCACGCUGAUACGUAGGUGAAGUCCCUCGCGGAUGGAGCUGAAAUCAGUCGAAGAUACCAGCUGGCUGCAACUGUUUAUUAAAAACACAGCACUGUGCAAACACGAAAGUGGACGUAUACGGUGUGACGCCUGCCCGGUGCCGGAAGGUUAAUUGAUGGGGUCAGCGCAAGCGAAGCUCUUGAUCGAAGCCCCGGUAAACGGCGGCCGUAACUAUAACGGUCCUAAGGUAGCGAAAUUCCUUGUCGGGUAAGUUCCGACCUGCACGAAUGGCGUAAUGAUGGCCAGGCUGUCUCCACCCGAGACUCAGUGAAAUUGAACUCGCUGUGAAGAUGCAGUGUACCCGCGGCAAGACGGAAAGACCCCGUGAACCUUUACUAUAGCUUGACACUGAACAUUGAGCCUUGAUGUGUAGGAUAGGUGGGAGGCUUUGAAGUGUGGACGCCAGUCUGCAUGGAGCCGACCUUGAAAUACCACCCUUUAAUGUUUGAUGUUCUAACGUAGACCCGUGAUCCGGGUUGCGGACAGUGUCUGGUGGGUAGUUUGACUGGGGCGGUCUCCUCCUAAAGAGUAACGGAGGAGCACGAAGGUUGGCUAAUCCUGGUCGGACAUCAGGAGGUUAGUGCAAUGGCAUAAGCCAGCUUGACUGCGAGCGUGACGGCGCGAGCAGGUGCGAAAGCAGGUCAUAGUGAUCCGGUGGUUCUGAAUGGAAGGGCCAUCGCUCAACGGAUAAAAGGUACUCCGGGGAUAACAGGCUGAUACCGCCCAAGAGUUCAUAUCGACGGCGGUGUUUGGCACCUCGAUGUCGGCUCAUCACAUCCUGGGGCUGAAGUAGGUCCCAAGGGUAUGGCUGUUCGCCAUUUAAAGUGGUACGCGAGCUGGGUUUAGAACGUCGUGAGACAGUUCGGUCCCUAUCUGCCGUGGGCGCUGGAGAACUGAGGGGGGCUGCUCCUAGUACGAGAGGACCGGAGUGGACGCAUCACUGGUGUUCGGGUUGUCAUGCCAAUGGCACUGCCCGGUAGCUAAAUGCGGAAGAGAUAAGUGCUGAAAGCAUCUAAGCACGAAACUUGCCCCGAGAUGAGUUCUCCCUGACCCUUUAAGGGUCCUGAAGGAACGUUGAAGACGACGACGUUGAUAGGCCGGGUGUGUAAGCGCAGCGAUGCGUUGAGCUAACCGGUACUAAUGAACCGUGAGGCUUAACCUUACAACGCCGAAG
This 2924-nucleotide ribosomal RNA is filed under the name Escherichia coli. RNAcentral describes it as "23S ribosomal RNA". It matches the Rfam family "Bacterial large subunit ribosomal RNA". The record is from RNAcentral. Lineage: Bacteria; Pseudomonadati; Pseudomonadota; Gammaproteobacteria; Enterobacterales; Enterobacteriaceae.